This is a long non-coding RNA of Chinchilla lanigera (long-tailed chinchilla), 375 nucleotides long. RefSeq lists it as uncharacterized. The transcript is spliced from 3 exons. NCBI's taxonomy places the organism in Eukaryota, Metazoa, Chordata, Mammalia, Rodentia, Chinchillidae. The record is from RefSeq and is a predicted model, not a curated record.
GACUAUUGUGGUUUAAUCUAACAUAUCCCCAAAUAUCAUCUGUUCAGAAGUGGUCUUCUGGAAGGUGGUUGAGUUAUGAAGACACUAUAGUUAGGAAGAGAAUGAUCUAUUGAUGAAUUCAUAUCUGAGUGUACUGUUAGGAUGAUGGAUCUACUUGAAAGAGUUUUGAGAAGACGCAUUGACUGUGCCCAGAAUUUCUCUCCCUUCUUCAUCCUCUAUGUCAUGAAAGUUCAGAUAAGGAAGAUUCCCAACAGCUAUGAAUAUUAGUUGAUGUUUUCGAGGGAAACAGUGCCCAAAGGAGGUGAAAACUGUUCACACACCCACCACCAGAAUGGAAGUAAGUAGCUCUUAAAGUUCAUGGUGGGAGUGGUAAAU